Molecule: unclassified non-coding RNA, 249 nt
Filed under: plant metagenome
Description: partial contains 5.8S ribosomal RNA, internal transcribed spacer 2, and large subunit ribosomal RNA
Source: RNAcentral
AAUCGAGGUCUAUGUCAUCCAUAAGCUAUGCUUUGGCAUCCACCUAUGCGGGUUUCUCGACUUCCCCGAAGGCCCUGUUGUAGUUUCCCGAAGGCGCCCUCGCUUGGACUGUUGUAUCUGCCUUGAAAAUCCCCGCGUCAGCUGGAAGUUGAUAAGGGGUAUUGGUCCAGGUCCCGCCGCCUUCAUUUGAGCGGCAAAGGGCCGCCUCAAGAAAUUACUAAUGAGAUAUGAGAUAACGAACACACGGGG